GAAUUGUGUGGCUCAGCGGUAGAGCUCUCGCCUAGCAUGUGCAAGGCCCUGGGUUCAAUCCUCAGCACCACA
This 72-nucleotide transfer RNA is filed under the name Marmota monax (woodchuck). RNAcentral's name for it is "tRNA.Ala". Lineage: Eukaryota; Metazoa; Chordata; Mammalia; Rodentia; Sciuridae. The record is from RNAcentral.